RNAcentral lists this ribosomal RNA (508 nucleotides) under uncultured bacterium. RNAcentral's name for it is "partial 16S ribosomal RNA". It matches the Rfam family "Bacterial small subunit ribosomal RNA", at positions 28 to 523 of the family's 1533-position model. The record is from RNAcentral.
GAUGAACGCUAGCUACAGGCUUAACACAUGCAAGUCGAGGGGAAACGAUAUUGGAAGCUUGCUUCCGAUAGGCGUCGACCGGCGCACGGGUAAGUAACGCGUAUCCAACCUGCCCACCACUUGGGGAUAACCUUGCGAAAGUAAGACUAAUACCCAAUGAUAUCUCUAGAAGACAUCUGAAGGAGAUUAAAGAUUCAUCGGUGAUGGAUGGGGAUGCGUCUGAUUAGCUUGUUGGCGGGGUAACGGCCCACCAAGGCGACGAUCAGUAGGGGUUCUGAGAGGAAGGUGCCCCACAUUGGAACUGAGACACGGUCCAAACUCCUACGGGAGGCAGCAGUGAGGAAUAUUGGUCAAUGGGCGAGAGCUUGAACCAGCCAAGUAGCGUGCAGGAUGACGGCCCUAUGGGUUGUAAACUGCUUUUAUAAGGGAAUAAAGUGAGUCUCGUGAGACUUUUUGCAUGUACCUUAUGAAUAAGGACCGGCUAAUUCCGUGCCAGCAGCCGCCGUAA